GAACAGGAUGUUCGUCUGGAUGUCCAGCAGGAUCUGCCCAUGUUUGAUUAUCUAAAGUGGAAGUUUAACAAACGUAUACACUAAAAUACAGCAACGAAUUGGAAUUUCUUUUUAAAAAAUCUGAGAAACAUUCAACCUAUUAUUGUAAGUAACAAAGCAGAGUUGUGUUUAGUUAAGGAAACUCCUCUCUUCUGCGGAGGAACCUACAGGAAGGAGACAGUGGAACUUACACUACGGAAGACAGAAAUGUUUACGCAAACUUAUUGGUUGUCCAAGUGUCUCCCCCUGCUGGCGUGUCUGUGUAAAUGCUGAAGAUUCUCCUGGUGUCUGUGGGGCUAUUCAUCAUGAUCUCUGCAGUCAUCAACCUCCACAUCAGGGACAUUCUAAAAACAACACUGAUUUAAGCCCACGAGUGACAGAACAAUGUUUAUUGUAUUUUUACCAUUGACAGGGCUUCCCACAGAGGAUAUCAUUUACAAUGAAAUGUGAUGAUAUACAGCAGAAGAUAUAAUCAUGAGAUUAAUAAUUCUGUUCCUUUUUAUGUAACAAUGUACAGUACACAGAAACAGAAGGAUGUUGCCUGCACAUGUAAAUCAGAUUAGGUAAUUUAAAAAGUUUUCAAAAAUA
This is a non-coding RNA of Salvelinus sp. IW2-2015, 627 nucleotides long. NCBI's taxonomy places the organism in Eukaryota, Metazoa, Chordata, Actinopteri, Salmoniformes, Salmonidae. The record is from RefSeq and is a predicted model, not a curated record.